AACGAACGCUGGCGGCAUGCCUAACACAUGCAAGUCGAACGAGACCUCCGGGCCUAGUGGCGCACGGGUGCGUAACGCGUGGGAACCUGCCCUUAGGUUCGGAAUAACUCCCCGAAAGGGGUGCUAAUACCGGAUAAUGUCUUCGGACCAAAGAUUUAUCGCCGUUGGAUGGGCCCGGGUUGGAUUAGCCAGUUGGUAGGGGAAAAGCCUACCAAGGCGACGAUCCAUAGCUGGUCUGAGAGGAUGAUCAGCCACACUGGGACUGAGACACGGCCCAGACUCCUACGGAAGGCAGCAGUGGGGAAUAUUGGACAAUGGGCGAAGGCCUGAUCCAGCAAUGCCGCGUGAGUGAUGAAGGGCUUAGGGUUGUAAAGCUCUUUUACACGGGAUGAUAAUGACGGUACCGGGAGAAUAAGCACCGGCUAACUCCGUG
RNAcentral lists this ribosomal RNA (433 nucleotides) under uncultured bacterium. RNAcentral describes it as "partial 16S ribosomal RNA". It matches the Rfam family "Bacterial small subunit ribosomal RNA", at positions 29 to 507 of the family's 1533-position model. The record is from RNAcentral.